AUUAGCAAAAAGCAAUAGCUAUGAGUCACGAAUGGAAGUGAGCUAAGCAGGUAUGUUUUACGUACAGAAUACGUUGUAUAGUAUUUAGAAAAUAUAUGCUUAGGAGUGAUAGGCCUUCCAAACUUUCUGAUAACUUGAUUCAUAUGAAAAGUAUUAAGUACAUAAAUAUAUUUAAAAAGUUAAGCUUUUAAAUAUUUAUUAAAAACAUUAUUUAAUUAAACAUAGUAUAAUAGCUAGUUAUUAUUAAACUUAAUAUUAUAACAUGAGUUUUUAUAGUAAAUAAUAUGACAGUUAAGGUUAUACUUACUAUUUGAAAAUGUUAAUAUUAGUAGUAUAGGUAAAUGUAUUAAAGGAACUCGGCAAAUAACUUCUCAACUGUUUAUCAAAAACAUAGCUAUAUGAAUUAAUAUAUAGUUAUUUCUGCUCCAUGAUUAUUAAAUAGCCGCAGUACCCUGACUGUGCAAAGGUAGCAUAAUCAGUUGACUCUUAAUUAGGGUCUGGUAUGAAAGAAAAUAUGGGUAGUAACUGUCUUAAUAUAUUUAUUUGAAAUUAAUAAGCAAGUGCAAAUACUUGCAUACAUAAAAAAGACGAGAAGACCCUAGAAACUUGAAAUGAGUUUUGUUGGGGCGACAGAAUUACACUUAACUAAUUUUAUGGGACAUGACACGAAGUUGAAAGAAUAAGUUACUCUAGGGAUAACAGCAUAAUUUAAAUAGUUUGUGACCUCGAUGUUGGACUAGGUAUUAUACCUUUAAGGUAAAGUUAUAAAAUGCUCUGUUCGAGCAUAUACACCUACAUGAUCUGAGUUCAGACCGG
This 816-nucleotide ribosomal RNA is filed under the name Helix albescens. RNAcentral's name for it is "partial large subunit ribosomal RNA". The record is from RNAcentral. Lineage: Eukaryota; Metazoa; Mollusca; Gastropoda; Stylommatophora; Helicidae.